GCCCCCGUCGUCUAACGGCUAGGACGCGGCCCUUUCAAGGCCGAAACACGAGUUCGAUUCUCGUCGGGGGCACCA
RNAcentral lists this transfer RNA (75 nucleotides) under Elusimicrobiota bacterium. RNAcentral's name for it is "Elusimicrobia bacterium tRNA-Glu". It matches the Rfam family "tRNA". From Rfam's summary of the family: Transfer RNA (tRNA) molecules are approximately 80 nucleotides in length. Their secondary structure includes four short double-helical elements and three loops (D, anti-codon, and T loops). Further hydrogen bonds mediate the characteristic L-shaped molecular structure. tRNAs have two regions of fundamental functional importance: the anti-codon, which is responsible for specific mRNA codon recognition, and the 3' end, to which the tRNAs corresponding amino acid is attached (by aminoacyl-tRNA synthetases). tRNAs cope with the degeneracy of the genetic code in two manners: having more than one tRNA (with a specific anti-codon) for a particular amino acid; and 'wobble' base-pairing, i.e. permitting non-standard base-pairing at the 3rd anti-codon position. Lineage: Bacteria; Pseudomonadati; Elusimicrobiota. The record is from RNAcentral.